This 31-nucleotide transfer RNA is filed under the name Cercopithecus mitis opisthostictus. RNAcentral describes it as "partial tRNA-Thr". The record is from RNAcentral. Lineage: Eukaryota; Metazoa; Chordata; Mammalia; Primates; Cercopithecidae.
ACUAGAAAUGGAAUCCACAACCCCNAGGGCA